This 236-nucleotide long non-coding RNA is filed under the name Pan troglodytes (chimpanzee). Its description in RNAcentral is "long non-coding RNA NONPTRT009979". The record is from RNAcentral. Lineage: Eukaryota; Metazoa; Chordata; Mammalia; Primates; Hominidae.
UUGGGUAUGUGCCCAGUAACAGGAUUGCUGGGCCAAAUGGUAGUUCUGCUUUAAGUUAUUUGAGAAAUCUCUAAACUGCUUUCCACAGGGACUGAACUAAUUUAAAUUCCCAUGAGCAAUGUAUAAAUGUUCCAUUUCUCUACAGUCUCACCAGUAUCUAUUAUGUUUUGACUUUUCAAUGACAGCCAUCCUGACUGGUGUAAGAUAGUAUCUUGAUUUGUAUUUCUCUGAGGAUU